RNAcentral lists this ribosomal RNA (574 nucleotides) under Aspergillus fumigatus. RNAcentral describes it as "SSU rRNA". It matches the Rfam family "Eukaryotic small subunit ribosomal RNA", at positions 366 to 941 of the family's 1831-position model. Lineage: Eukaryota; Fungi; Ascomycota; Eurotiomycetes; Eurotiales; Aspergillaceae. The record is from RNAcentral.
ACACUACUCGUAGGGUUCGAUUCCGGAGAGGGAGCCUGAGAAACGGCUACCACAUCCAAGGAAGGCAGCAGGCGCGCAAAUUACCCAAUCCCGACACGGGGAGGUAGUGACAAUAAAUACUGAUACGGGGCUCUUUUGGGUCUCGUAAUUGGAAUGAGUACAAUCUAAAUCCCUUAACGAGGAACAAUUGGAGGGCAAGUCUGGUGCCAGCAGCCGCGGUAAUUCCAGCUCCAAUAGCGUAUAUUAAAGUUGUUGCAGUUAAAAAGCUCGUAGUUGAACCUUGGGUCUGGCUGGCCGGUCCGCCUCACCGCGAGUACUGGUCCGGCUGGACCUUUCCUUCUGGGGAACCUCAUGGCCUUCACUGGCUGUGGGGGGAACCAGGACUUUUACUGUGAAAAAAUUAGAGUGUUCAAAGCAGGCCUUUGCUCGAAUACAUUAGCAUGGAAUAAUAGAAUAGGACGUGCGGUUCUAUUUUGUUGGUUUCUAGGACCGCCGUAAUGAUUAAUAGGGAUAGUCGGGGGCGUCAGUAUUCAGCUGUCAGAGGUGAAAUUCUUGGAUUUGCUGAAGACUAACU